This 253-nucleotide ribosomal RNA is filed under the name uncultured bacterium. RNAcentral describes it as "partial 16S ribosomal RNA". It matches the Rfam family "Bacterial small subunit ribosomal RNA", at positions 524 to 776 of the family's 1533-position model. The record is from RNAcentral.
UACAGAGGUCCCAAGCGUUGUUCGGAUUUACUGGGCGUAAAGGGCGCGUAGGCGGUCGGAUAAGUCUGAUGUGAAAUCUCCGGGCUUAACCCGGAAAUGGCAUUGGAUACUAUUCGGCUGGAGGGUUGGAGGGGGGACUGGAAUACUUGGUGUAGCAGUGAAAUGCGUAGAUAUCAAGUGGAACACCAGUGGCGAAGGCGAGUCCCUGGACAACUCCUGACGCUGAGGCACGAAAGCUAGGGGAGCAAACAGG